AGAGUUUGAUCCUGGCUCAGAAUCAACGCUGGCGGCGCGCCUAACACAUGCAAGUCGAACGAGAAAGCCGCAAGGUGAGUAAAGUGGCGUACGGGUGAGUAACACGUGGAUAAUCUGCCCUUUAGUGGGGAAUACCGCUGGGAAACCGGCGACAAUACCGCAUAAGCUCGAGAGAGGAAAGCAGCAAUGCGCUGAAGGAGGAGUCCGCGGUCGAUUAGUUAGUUGGCGGGGUAAAGGCCCACCAAGACUGUGAUCGAUAGCCGGCCUGAGAGGGCACACGGCCACACUGGCACUGAAACACGGGCCAGACUCCUACGGGAGGCAGCAGUGGGGAAUCUUGCACAAUGGGGGAAACCCUGAUGCAGCGACGCCGCGUGAGCGAUGAAGCCCCUCGGGGUGUAAAGCUCUUUCGGCAGGGAAGAUUAUGACGGUACCUGCAAAAGCAGCUGCGGCUAACUACGUGCCAGCAGCCGCGGUAAUACGUAGGCAGCAAGCGUUGUUCGGAGUUACUGGGCGUAAAGGGUGUGUAGGCGGCUUUUUAAGUUUGGUGUGAAAUCUCCCGGCUCAACUGGGAGGGUGCGCCGAAUACUGAGAGGCUAGAGUGUGGGAGAGGAAAGUGGAAUUCCUGGUGUAGCGGUGAAAUGCGUAGAUAUCAGGAGGAACACCGGUGGUGUAAACGGCUUUCUGGACCGUAACUGACGCUGAGACACGAAAGCGUGGGUAGCAAACAGGAUUAGAUACCCUGGUAGUCCACGCCCUAAACGAUGCAUAUUUGGUGUGGGCCAUUCAUUUGGUCCGUGCCGGAGCUAACGCGUUAAAUAUGCCGCCUGGGAAGUACAGUCGCA
RNAcentral lists this ribosomal RNA (845 nucleotides) under uncultured bacterium. Its description in RNAcentral is "bacterial SSU rRNA". It matches the Rfam family "Bacterial small subunit ribosomal RNA", at positions 8 to 890 of the family's 1533-position model. The record is from RNAcentral.